This 637-nucleotide long non-coding RNA is filed under the name Manacus vitellinus (golden-collared manakin). RNAcentral describes it as "lncRNA (ENSMVIG00005003410.1)". Lineage: Eukaryota; Metazoa; Chordata; Aves; Passeriformes; Pipridae. The record is from RNAcentral.
GGCCGCCGCCGCCGCUCGGAGGUGGCUCCCUGCGCCCCCCAAAGAUGCCUUCUCAUCGCUUCGGGCUCCCUUAGGGACGUCGCUGUUUUCCCCUUCUAGACUAAAGGUUACUUUUCCAGGCGUGGAGGGUUUUUCUGUGUGUCCCCGAAGCCCGUUAAAGAUCGAGCAUGAAAUUGUUGAGGAAGAAAAUUAAUACAUCCUUGGACUCCUGAAGGAAGAGCUUUCCGGAUGGGACCACAUUCAAGGGAGGAGUGAAAAGCAGAUUCACAAAGAUCCAUCAUUGACACUUGAAAGGAAUUUCAUGUGCUUGGUGGAGAUGGAAAAAGAAGAAAAGCAAGUUGGUUUCCCAGGGAAAGAAGGCAGCACAUACUCAAUGGAACUUUAUUUCUGUGGAACCAUGUUUUGAGUGCUCCUCCUAGACAUCGUCCGUGAAUAUUCUAGAUAUCAGCAGAUUGAUAUGAUUGGAAACCUGGCUCAUCAAACAGUAUACACUGGGAGAAGCCUGCUUAGAAUAAGACAUUUUCUAUUGUUUCUGAAAGUCUGUGAGAAAACACUAUAGACAUCUACCUGUUUUUUUCUUAAUUUUGCAUCUGGAUUCAGCAAAGCCAGUCUUUGAAGUGAAUAGAACCAGAGCCUU